GCCAGGGAAGAGGCAGUGCAUG
Molecule: microRNA, 22 nt
Filed under: Dimocarpus longan
Lineage: Eukaryota; Viridiplantae; Streptophyta; Magnoliopsida; Sapindales; Sapindaceae
Description: miR408-3p
Source: RNAcentral